CCGCGGGCACCUGGUCCGGGGAGAUGAAGUGGAUAUGGGUAUCGAUGCCGCCGGCGGUGACGAUUUUCCGUUCACCGGCAAUGAUUUCAGUGCUCGCGCCGAUCACGAUAUCCACGCCGCUGCUGAUGUCCGGGUUUCCGGCCUUGCCGAUCUUGAAAAUGUGGCCGUCCCGGAGCGCGACGUCCGCCUUGUAGAUUCCGGUGUAGUCCAGCACGAUCACGUUGGUGAUGACGGUGUCCGGGACGCCUUCAUCACGGGUGGCUUGGCCGUUCUGGCCCAUGCCGUCGCGG
This is a small RNA of Arthrobacter cupressi, 290 nucleotides long. It matches the Rfam family "5' ureB small RNA". NCBI's taxonomy places the organism in Bacteria, Bacillati, Actinomycetota, Actinomycetes, Micrococcales, Micrococcaceae. The record is from Rfam.